AAUAGAAGAAUGACAAGUCAGAUUUUUUUCAGCUUUUUCCUCUUAACAAAAUUCAAAUUCAACUAAAAAUACUAAAAAUCAGGAGAAAAGAUCUGAUUUGUCAUUUUCUUAUU
This 113-nucleotide microRNA precursor is filed under the name Gossypium hirsutum (cotton). RNAcentral describes it as "MIR7504 microRNA precursor family". It matches the Rfam family "MIR7504 microRNA precursor family". Lineage: Eukaryota; Viridiplantae; Streptophyta; Magnoliopsida; Malvales; Malvaceae. The record is from Rfam by way of RNAcentral.